RNAcentral lists this ribosomal RNA (460 nucleotides) under uncultured bacterium. RNAcentral describes it as "partial 16S ribosomal RNA". It matches the Rfam family "Bacterial small subunit ribosomal RNA", at positions 338 to 795 of the family's 1533-position model. The record is from RNAcentral.
CCUUCGGGUGGCAGCAGUGAGGAAUAUUGGUCAAUGGGCGCAAGCCUGAACCAGCCAAGUCGCGUGAGGGAAGACGGCCCUACGGGUUGUAAACCUCUUUUGCCGGGGAGCAAGCCUGAGCACGUGUGCCCAGGCGGAGAGUACCCGGAGAAAAAGCAUCGGCUAACUCCGUGCCAGCAGCCGCGGUAAUACGGAGGAUGCGAGCGUUAUCCGGAUUUAUUGGGUUUAAAGGGUGCGCAGGCGGGAUGUUAAGUCGGCGGUAAAAUUUCGGGGCUCAACCCCGCCGAGCCGUCGAAACUGGCAGUCUUGAGUGGGCGAGAAGUAUGCGGAAUGCGUGGUGUAGCGGUGAAAUGCAUAGAUAUCACGCAGAACGCCGAUUGCGAAGGCAGCAUACCGGCGCCCAACUGACGCUGAAGCACGAAAGCGUGGGUAUCGAACAGGAUUAGAUACCCGGGUAGUC